This 253-nucleotide ribosomal RNA is filed under the name uncultured Enterobacteriaceae bacterium. Its description in RNAcentral is "partial 16S ribosomal RNA". It matches the Rfam family "Bacterial small subunit ribosomal RNA", at positions 524 to 776 of the family's 1533-position model. The record is from RNAcentral. Lineage: Bacteria; Pseudomonadati; Pseudomonadota; Gammaproteobacteria; Enterobacterales; Enterobacteriaceae.
UACAGAGGGUGCAAGCGUUAAUCGGAAUUACUGGGCGUAAAGCGCACGCAGGCGGUUUGUUAAGUCAGAUGUGAAAUCCCCGGGCUCAACCUGGGAACUGCAUCCGAAACUGGCAGGCUUGAGUCUUGUAGAGGGGGGUAGAAUUCCAGGUGUAGCGGUGAAAUGCGUAGAGAUCUGGAGGAAUACCGGUGGCGAAGGCGGCCCCCUGGACAAAGACUGACGCUCAGGUGCGAAAGCGUGGGGAGCAAACAGG